This is a non-coding RNA of Podarcis lilfordi (Lilford's wall lizard), 128 nucleotides long. NCBI's taxonomy places the organism in Eukaryota, Metazoa, Chordata, Lepidosauria, Squamata, Lacertidae. The record is from the annotation of a GenBank genome assembly.
CCAGCAGCACCUUAGAGACCAACUAAGUUUGUUCUGGGUAUAAACUUUCAUGUGCAUGCACACUUCUUCAGAUGCACACAAAAGCUUAUACCCAGAACAAACUUAGUUGGUCUCUAAGGUGCUACUGG